This 101-nucleotide non-coding RNA is filed under the name Pseudomonadota bacterium. Its description in RNAcentral is "Proteobacteria bacterium Glycine sequence". It matches the Rfam family "Glycine riboswitch aptamer". Rfam says of the family: This family represents the bacterial glycine riboswitch. Glycine riboswitches usually consist of two metabolite-binding aptamers domains with similar structures in tandem. Lineage: Bacteria; Pseudomonadati; Pseudomonadota. The record is from RNAcentral.
CAAGACGACUCUGGAAAGCGACCCCGAUCAUGGGGUCCACCGAAGGGGUAAGCCGGCGUGCCCGGCGAAAGCUCUCAGGUUUCCGUGACAGAGGGGGCGCG